Molecule: long non-coding RNA, 247 nt
Organism: Populus euphratica (Euphrates poplar)
Lineage: Eukaryota; Viridiplantae; Streptophyta; Magnoliopsida; Malpighiales; Salicaceae
Exons: 2
Source: RefSeq, a predicted model, not a curated record
CCACCAUCGAUCUGUCUUCUUGUAUUUCUUGUUUUAGAGGGGAAAAAAUGAGGACAGCCCAUUACUCUCUUCUGCUUUGUUUUGCCUUCAUUUUUGUUGUUCUAUCAAAAGCUGAUCAUCCAAGCAAUCGGGUUCAACCUCAUGCUCUUGAUCAGUCUUUCAGUCCCGGUUUAAUCCAGCAGACUGUAGGGAGCUGUGCUUACACUGUGAUCAUUUCGACAAGCUGUUUAUCACCCAAAUAUACAAC